CGUCUAAAGAUUAGUAUAGUGAUUAUCACAAUAUUAUUUAGAGAUAAAUGAUAUUGAGAGGAUACUUGAAUAUCAUCAAUAAUCUUAAGUCUAUAUAGUUGUCAUAAGGAAUCAUAAGUAAUUUGAAUAGUGAACUCCAAUCUUGCCAAGCCUUUUACAUUUGAUUAAAACUAUUUUAUUGUUUUAGUGACAUUUUACUCAAAAGAUAACUUUUCA
RNAcentral lists this long non-coding RNA (216 nucleotides) under Lathyrus oleraceus (garden pea). RNAcentral describes it as "Pisum sativum (pea) long non-coding RNA (PSAT_LNC006541)". Lineage: Eukaryota; Viridiplantae; Streptophyta; Magnoliopsida; Fabales; Fabaceae. The record is from RNAcentral.